UUAGUUUCAUAGUGAAAAUAUGUGAGGUAAGUGAAUAUAAGUAUACUUCGACAACGUAACUACAUUUAGAUAUAUAAAUGCUGUUGUAUGUGCCUUUCAUUUUGCUUUUGUACUUGCAUGCCUGUUAAUAGCAUAGGUAUAUUUGCUGCAUGUUUUUGUGGAUCGUUAAUGGAAUGUGUGCAUGGUUUCUGUCUUCUUCAUUCAAAUUAUAUGCAUUUUGAUAUUUUUCCUUUUUAUGGUAAUUUGCAUUUGGGUGUAUAUAGUUCUGAAGUAAUACCACAAUUGUUUUAUCAUCUAAAUAAGAAGUACCUAUCUGAAUAGUGCGCUAGUUUUUACUACUUAGACUAUUUUUCUGCUAUAUUUUAUUUAUGUUUGUGAUGUAUAUACCUAUGUUAUUCUCUGCUAUUCGUGAAAUUAAAACAUCUAGAUUUCAUAUAUGCACAAUACACUUUUCUUCCAUCAUUAUUAAUGACCAAUGUCAGAUCACAUAAGGAUGCUUUUUGAGAAAUAGAUUCUGAUAAGUUUAAUCAAAUGUUUUAGUAUGAUAGGUAUAAAUAAUUUUGCUGUUUCAGAGUGAGGAAUCACCUCCUGAAGUUUACUCAUGUAUUCAAAACUUUCAUAACUUUAUAUUAUGUUUUGCAUCUCAAUCUUUUAUCCAAUGUGCAGACUUUGAGAAGAUAGAUAUCAGCCGAGUGGAUAAGGCUGGCCACAUUGAGGAUCAAGAGACAAAAAUAAGUUUUGGUUGAUGUAGGUACUUUGAUUACAUUAAAAAUUUUCAAUAAU
This is a long non-coding RNA of Harmonia axyridis, 783 nucleotides long. RefSeq lists it as uncharacterized. The record is from RefSeq and is a predicted model, not a curated record. NCBI's taxonomy places the organism in Eukaryota, Metazoa, Arthropoda, Insecta, Coleoptera, Coccinellidae. The transcript is spliced from 2 exons.